RNAcentral lists this transfer RNA (84 nucleotides) under Clostridium sp. RNAcentral describes it as "tRNA-Leu". It matches the Rfam family "tRNA". Rfam says of the family: Transfer RNA (tRNA) molecules are approximately 80 nucleotides in length. Their secondary structure includes four short double-helical elements and three loops (D, anti-codon, and T loops). The record is from RNAcentral. RNAcentral also lists the same sequence under 13 other names. Lineage: Bacteria; Bacillati; Bacillota; Clostridia; Eubacteriales; Clostridiaceae.
GCCCGGAUGGCGGAAUCGGUAGACGCGUUGGUCUCAAACACCAAUGUCCGAAAGGAUGUGCCGGUUCGACCCCGGCUCCGGGUA